UUUUUUUUUUUUUUUGCUUUUUAGGGCUGUACCCACAGCAUAUGGAAGUUUCCAGGUUAGGGCUCCAACUGGAGCUGCAGCUACAGGCCUCUGCCCCAGCCACAGCAACACUGUGGGAUCCGAGCUGCAUCUGUGACCUACACCACAGCUCACGGCAACCCCAGAUCCUUAACCCGCUGAGCAAGGACACAGGGAUCGAACCCUCGUCCUCAUGGAUACUAGUUGGGGUCAUUACUGCUGAGCGUCAAUGGGAACUCCUGUCUCUAUGAUUUGAUUUUUUACGACUCUAGGUACCUCUUGUAAGUGGAAUCAUAUAGUAUUUGUCUUUUUGUGACUGGCUUAUUUCACUUAACAUAUAUCCUCAAGUUUCAUCCAUACUGUAGCAUAUUUCAGAAUUUCCAUCCUUUUUAAGGCUGAAUAGUAUGGCAUUGUUAAGUAUCUACCACAGUGUGCUUAUCCAUUCAUGCUGAUAGUUACUUGGGUUGCUUCUAUGUUUUAACUAUUGUGAAUAAUGCUGCUAUGACCAUGGAACUAACUUUUUGAAAACCUUGCUUUCAAUUCUGGGUAUAUGCCCAGAAGUGGAAUUGCUGGAUCUUGUAAUUUUUUUUUUUUUUUUUUUUGAGGAACCACCAUACUGUUUCCCAAGUAAAAAUGUACCAUUUUUACAUUUCUACCACAGUACACAGGGUUCCAAUUUCUCCACAUUCUUACCAACACUUGUUAUUUUCUGGGGUUUUUUGGAUAGUAGACACCCUAAUGCGUAUAAGGUGAUAUCUUGUAGUUUUGAUUUGCAUUUCUUUAAUUAGUGAUGUUGAACAUUUUUUCUUGUUUUUACUAACCAUUGGAGAAAUUCAAAGGAUGAACCCUUUGACCAUUUUUGAAUUGGGUUUUAUUUAUUUUUGAGUUUUAGGAGUUCUUUAUAUUUUCUAGAUAUUAAUCACUUAUCUAUGGUUUUCAAAUAUUUUCUUCCUUUCUAUAUGUUGCCUUUUCACUCUGUUGAUGGUGUCCUUUGAUGCAUAAGAUUUUAAAAUUUUUGUGGGAGUUCCCGUCAUGGCGCAGUGGUUAGCGAAUCCGACUAGGAACCAUGAGGUUGCGGGUUCGGUCCCUGCCCUUGCUCAGUGGGUUAACGAUCCGGCGUUGCCGUGAGCUGUGGUGUAGGUCGCAGAUGCGGCUCGGAUCCCGCGUUGCUGUGGCUCUGGCGUAGGCCGGUGGCUACAGCUCCGAUUCAACCCCUAGCCUGGGAACCUCCAUAUGCCGCGGGAGCGGCCCAAGAAAUAGCAACAACAACAACAACAAAAGACAAAAAAAAUUUUUUUUAAAAUUAAAAAAAUAAAUAAAAUUUUUGUGAAGUCAAGUUUGUCUUUUUCCCAUCACUAUUUGUUGAAAUGAGCACCAUUUCCUCAUUGAAUGGUUUUGGCACCCUUGUCAAAUUAUUUGACCAUAUGCACAAAGGUUUAUGUCUGAGCUCUGUAUUCUAUUCCAUUGGUCUAUAUGUUUAUCUUUUUUUUUUUUUUUUUGGCCACUCUUGUUACAUGCAAAAGUUCCCCAGGCCAGGGAUCAAACCUGAGCCACAGCAGUAACAGCACUGGAUCCUUAACUGCUAGGCCACUAGGGAGCUCCUAUAUGUAUAUCUUUAUGCUAAUACCUCACUAUUUUGAUUACUGUAGCUUGGUAAUAAAAUUUGAAAUCAAGAAGCAUGAGCCCAAAUGUUGUUCUUUUUAAAGAUUGUUUUGGCUAUUUGGGGCCCUUUGAGAGUCCAUAAAAAUUUUAGGAUAGAUUUUUUUUUUAAAUUUCUGCAUAACUGUCGUCGUGAUUUUGAUAGGGAUAGCAUUGAAGCAGCAUGAAGCACCUCUACCCAUUACUUUGGGUAGUACACAACAAUAUUAGGUCUUUCAAUUCUUGAACAUGAGAUGCCUUUCUGUUUAUUUAUGUCUUCUUGAAUUUCUUUCAGAAGUGUGUUGUGUUUUCAUUGUAUAAGACUUUCACCUUCUUGUUUAAUUCCUAAGAGUUUUAUUCUUUUUGAGGUGUAGUAAAUGGAAUUGUUUUCUUAAUUUUCCUUUCAGGUCGUUUAUUGUUAGUAAAUAGAGAUAGUUAUCUUUGUGUGUUAAGUUUGUAUUCUGCUAUUUUGCUAAAUUCAUUUGUUCUAACAGGGUUUUUUUGUGGCAUCUUUAAGGUUUUCUACAUAUAAGAUCAUUGGAUGAAUGUUUUCUUAACCUGAUAAAAUAUGUUAUACCUGAAUAAGAGAGUCAGCAUCAUAUUUAAUGGAGAAAUAGUAGAGCCAUUUCUGCUCCAUGAUUUAUGUUUCAAGGAGACUGUCUAGUUUCUAAAAGUUGAGUAGAAUUCUGUUCUGAAAACAUCUGCAUCUGGUGCUGUUUCAUUUAAGAAUUUCCUUGAUGAAACAGUAAAAAUUAUUGUUAUUAAGCUUCAGUUCUUAAGUACAUGUCUUUUCAAUGUCAUGUAUAGAAAAAUGGGAAAAUAACAUAUUUUCUCUGUAUCUUCUACAUUGUUUCUACUGAAGUGGUGUCCUAAAGGAAAAGCGCUUGUGCUGUUAUCUCAGUGGCAAGCUGAAAUUGUUGCUUUUUUUUUUUUUUUCAUGAAUACUCUUCUACUUGAAAGAAUAACUUAGGGGCAAAUUUUUUUUUUUCAGAUUUGGUUGUUUUUUUUUUUGUUUUUUUUUUUUUUUUCGUUGGCCAUGCCUGUGGCAUGAGAAAGUUCCCAGGCCAGGGAUCAAACUUGCAUCACAGCAGUACCAGAGCCACAGCGGUGAAAAUGACAAAUCCUUAACCCGCUAUGCCACCAGGGAACUCUACAGGUACUUUUUCCACAAAUGAAUGGAGCCAUCCUGUCACUUUAAGGAAAACAACUGAAAGUAUAUGUUAUCAGUGAUAAAAUUUUGGCUUUUGAUCAAAAAUUAUAAUUUUGGAACAUUUCAUCUGCGCCUGUGAGCUUGAAACCUUCCCUGUACUUACAGACUUUUUUGGUGAGAUUGGUUGGUGAUAUUAUUAAGAAUGAGAUUUUUACAAUACAGUAUAGUGAAGCAUUUGAAAGAUCUGCACAAAUUAGUAAGGUAAUAUUUUCCAAAUAAACAGUGCAUGAUAUUACAAAAUAUAAAUUAAUGGAUUUAAAUGUAAUGGUACAGAAAGUUCAUUGAUGUAGUUUCAGAUUCUACAUUGCACCCAGAGAUUUGCUUGCAUCUGAUCUUAAUAUUCAUUUGCCCAUUUUAUUUUUAGCUUGUUUCUUGAAUGAAGCACGUUCUUGGGUUUUGCUCUGUGAGCCAAACAAAACUCCUUUUCUUCUUUUAUGAAAGUGGUUUUAUUUUUGGCCACACCUGUGGCAUGCAGAAGUUCCUGGGCCAGGGAUCGAACCUGAGUCACAGUAGUGACAAUGCUGAAUCCUUAACCACUAGGCCACCAGGAAACUUUUUUUUUUUGAUAAGUGAAUUAAUCCAUUCACAUUUAUUGAAAUGACUGAACAUUUGAUUUAUAGUUACUAUGUAUAUUAUGUAACAUCUGUGUUUUUCCCUUUCGAUGAUGAUUUUUCUCCUUUUUUUUUUUUUUUGCUCUUUAAGAUGUUUUCUUUUUUUCUUUCUUUUUUUUUGCUUUUUAGGGCCACACCUGUGGCAUUUCCUGGGCUAGGGGUCGAAUUGGAACUGCAGCUGCUGGCCCACACCACAGCCUCAGCAAUGCCAGAACCAAGCCAUGUCUGUGGCCUACACCACAGCUCAUGGCAACGCCAGAUCCUUAGCCCACUGAAUGAGGCCAGGGAUGGAACCCACAUCCUCAUGGAUACUAGUUGGAUUCUUAACCUGCCCACAACAGGAACUCUGCCAAAUUUUACUUUUUUCAUCUCACUUUUAUUCUUUUUCUUUUUCCAUUUUUGUCUAGUUACCCUUACUAAGUUUCCAUUCAAAAUCUGGUCCAUAUUAUAAUAUAUAGUCUUUUUUUUUUUUUUUUAAGUUUUGGAUGCCCUGUGGCAUAUGGAGCUCACGGACCAGGGAUCAUACUCCAGCCCCAGUCUCGACCUAAGCUGCAGCUCUGGCAACACUGGGUCUUUAACCCACUGCACCAGGCCAGGGAUCAAACCUUCAUUCCAGCACUUCUAAGACGCCGCCAAUCCCAUUGUGCCGCAGUGGGAACUCCUAUAGUCUUCAUUUUUGAUAUGAUUCUUUUAAUUCUGUCAUUUCUGGGAUCAGUCAACUCUUGUUUCAUUAUUUCCAUUUUUUUGUUCGUUUUUGGACUUAAUUUUUUAAUGUCAAUUCAGGUUCUUUUUCCGUAUACCUAAACAGGGAUAUUUAACUCAGUUUGGAUUUUUGUGUUAAGUCGUCUUCUGUGCAUGUAUUUUGUGGGGAGGGAGGUAGGGUGAAUGGCCAAACUGGUAAUUUUUGCCAGCUGAUGUGUUUUUGUUUUUUUAUUCUGUAGCUUUGUAUGGAUGAAGAGUGCUUGUGUCUAUGCCUGUUCAAGACUAUUCAAAGCUUGAUUCGGAGUGGUUUACAAGAGUCUUCAUUUAAAGUGCCCUCUUGUGUCAUUGUAAUGAUGUGCAGCUCUUUAAUGGAUGGCGCCGAGGGACAGAAUGUAGUGUAUGGCUGAAGGCUUGGUCUUCACCAGGAUGGCUCUAGCCAAUGAAACAGGGGACGAGCAAUGUGACAGAGAUGCUGGCUGGUGCAUAAAUGUUUUGGUAGUAAACUGCAGAAGUCUCUUCCGAUUGCGUUUUGUCAAUAAAAUAAGGUUAGGUUGAGAAUGGAUGAAGCAACAAAGGAGAUUUGAAGAGAGAAAACCACUGGCUUUCUCUAGGAAGAUAUUGGGAUAAUAGACAAUGAAUAUACAGCUAGAUCUUUUCAUUUCAUUAAAUUCACAGCAUAUUUUUAGUGGUUGCUCACAGUUCUGAUUUAUGGCUUACAUUAUGUUCUACAAUUUUUUUAAAACUAAUUUUCUGUUGUUGGACAAUAAAGUUGUUUCAGAUUUUUACUAUUAU
This 4971-nucleotide long non-coding RNA is filed under the name Sus scrofa (pig). RNAcentral's name for it is "lncRNA (ENSSSCG00000063426.1)". The record is from RNAcentral. Lineage: Eukaryota; Metazoa; Chordata; Mammalia; Artiodactyla; Suidae.